GCUUGCUUAAAAUUAAACCACCUAGAGGAUGGCUAGGCUGUGUCAGCGAGGAAGGUCGUGGCAAGCUGCGAUAAGCCCAGGGUAGCCGCAAGUCGGGCCUUGAACCUGGGAUUACCUAACUGCACAUUAGCAAUAAUGUGAGCACACGCGGGGAACUGAAAUAACUUAGUACCCGCAGGAGAAGAAAGCGAAAGCGAUGCUGCUAGUAAGACGACUGAACGCAGCGAAGGGCAAACUGAAUCUCCUCUUGCAAAAGAGGCAGAGAUGUGGUGCAAUGUAUCAUCCAAAGCAUGAGCCGAGCGCUCUGGAAAGAGCGGCCAAAGAGAGUGACAGCCUCGUAGGCAAAGUGUGAUGGAGUUGUUGCGAAAGAGUACAUCCGUUUGAGUAUGCGGAGAGAAUACGGGGGCAUUAAACUCCAACCCUAAAUAUUGGACACAGACCGAUAGAGAACAAGUAGCGCGAGCGAAAGCUGAAAAGAACCCAUACGCAUGGGAUUGAAAUCAGAUCUGAAACUAGGUGGUGACACGAAGGCAAGGCGCGGAAGCGUCGAAGUUUCCUGAAGUGAAAAUGCGAAAGCAUCGAACGAAGGGAAUGGAGCAGUGUCUUGUCAUUCUUCUUGAAGCAAGAGCCAGGGAGUGUAUGGUAGUGGCGAGCCGGAAGGCGCAGCGAAAGCGAGUGCUCGCAACAUGUGAGGAGCUUGGUAUGAAAAUGCCACUAGUCACUAUCAUACGACCCGAAGCCGUUGUGAACUACGCGCGCCCAGGACGAAGCUAGGCUAACGCCUGGUGGAGGUCCGCAACCUGUCAUGGCAUGUCCUGUUGGGUGAGGUGCGGGUAGCGGCGAUAUACCAUUCGAACACGGCAAUAUCGGGUCCCUUCUGAAGUAUCUUUAGGAUAGCUCGGGACGAGCUUGCACACGCGGUAGAGCUACCGAAUAUUUGGUAAGGAGUCGAGAGGCUCCACCAAAUUAUCGAACUCCGAAUGUAUGUGCUGCGUAGACUCCCGGAGUCGGCGAGGCUGGGUAAGCUAGCCCCGCGAGACUACAAAGAUAGUGACUGAGGUUAAGGUCCCCAAAUCAUGGUUGAGUGUCUUGAAAGUAGGAGAGGUCAUAGACAGCUGGGAGGUAGGCUCAGAAGCAGCCACCCUUUAAAAAACGCGUAAUAGCGUACCAGUAGAGAUCUCUUUUACUGAAGAUAUACGGGGCUAAACCAUGUACCGAGACCCCAGAAUGCGAAAGCAUUGGUAAGAAGGCGUAUGGCGUGGCAAGAAGUACGACCGAAAGGGCGUAUGGACCACGUUAUAGUGAAAAUCCUGGUAUUAGUAACAUCAUACAUGGGUGAGAAUCCCAUGCACCGAAAGCACAAGGUUUUCUUCGCAACGCUCGUCAGCGGAGAGUUAGGCGAUCCUAAGAACGAUGCCAAUCACAAUCGUUCAAAAGGGAAGCUGGUCAAUAUUCCAGCCCCUAUGUUGUAGGAGCGGCAACGCAAGGUAGAUUUCUGACGCUUGGGGACAGGUCCUUAUGAAGUGCAAACGGCUGCGGAGUCUCGUUAUGAGGAGAAACAGCUAAAUGAACAUGGACUGAAUUCCUGAGCCAGUGAAAAGGGAAUCUGCAACGAUCAACAUAGACCGUACCUAGAUCUAGUAAAAGUGCUGCUGGCUGAGAAAGCCAAGGUGUGACGGAGCUAACCGAUGUUAGGGAACU
RNAcentral lists this ribosomal RNA (1701 nucleotides) under Microcaldota archaeon. RNAcentral's name for it is "partial 23S ribosomal RNA". It matches the Rfam family "Archaeal large subunit ribosomal RNA", at positions 1 to 1811 of the family's 2987-position model. Lineage: Archaea; Nanobdellati; Microcaldota. The record is from RNAcentral.